This 349-nucleotide ribosomal RNA is filed under the name Crocinitomicaceae bacterium. RNAcentral's name for it is "partial 23S ribosomal RNA". It matches the Rfam family "Bacterial large subunit ribosomal RNA", at positions 2564 to 2925 of the family's 2925-position model. Lineage: Bacteria; Pseudomonadati; Bacteroidota; Flavobacteriia; Flavobacteriales; Crocinitomicaceae. The record is from RNAcentral.
CCCAAGGGUUGGGCUGUUCGCCCAUUAAAGUGGCACGCGAGCUGGGUUCAGAACGUCGUGAGACAGUUCGGUCCCUAUCUGUUGUGGGCGUUAGAAAUUUGAGAGAACCUGCCUCUAGUACGAGAGGACCGGGGUGGACGAACCUCUAGUGUACCUGUUGUGACGCCAGUUGCAUCGCAGGGUAGCUACGUUCGGAUGAGAUAAGCGCUGAAAGCAUCUAAGCACGAAACUCGCCUCAAGAUGAGAUUUCUUUUAAGGGCCGUGGAAGACUACCACGUUGAUAGGCUACAAGUGUAAAGACAGUAAUGUCAAAGCUGAGUAGUACUAAUUACCCGUAGACUUAUAGUCU